GACGAACCGUGCGAACGUUGUUCGGAAUCACUGGGCUUAAAGGGCGCGUAGGCGGCAGUUCAAGUCCGGGGUGAAAUCCUCCAGCUCAACUGGAGAAGUGCCUUGGAUACUGGAUUGCUCGAGGGAGGUGAGGGGUCGAGGGAACUUCUGGUGGAGCGGUGAAAUGCGUUGAUAUCAGAAGGAACGCCGGUGGCGAAAGCGCUACGA
This 207-nucleotide ribosomal RNA is filed under the name uncultured bacterium. Its description in RNAcentral is "partial 16S ribosomal RNA". It matches the Rfam family "Bacterial small subunit ribosomal RNA", at positions 524 to 728 of the family's 1533-position model. The record is from RNAcentral.